UGGAGAAAUCUAGAAACUUAAAGUUCUAGUUUUACUAACUUGUGUUAGCUAGUAAGUCAUCGUUUUCUUAUUCAGCACUGCCGAUAGUAACUAACUAUGUAUUCAUUCUUUUUUCAACAAUUAUAUAGAGAACAAUUACCUUUUUACAAUAUUAGAUUACAUAAAUGUAAGACUUUUCAGGUUAAGCAAACGGCCUUGUAGAAGUCAAGCGUUGCUCUGUUUCUUACCAUGCCCACCUGGUUUCAAGAUCAUUAGUCGUUUCAAUUCGAUCUGCUUCCAACAGAAUCAGGGAAAGAGUUUGAUAAAUCAUAGCUCCCCCUUCCCACAGUGCAGAUUUUUUUAUUUCUUCAACAUCUACCGAGGCUUUUCUAUCGUGUUUCUUCGAAUGUCUCAGUCCAUUGCUAGACAGCGACAUUGAAACCACGUCAAUGUAGUUCUACAGCACAGACGGAGAGGUUUGAGGACGUGUUUGAGCUUUUCAUGUGGCAAAUAGAAGAUGACGGAAAGCAAUCAAAGGAAUAUUAGACGGAGAGUCUUCUUUUUUCAACAGGCUGGUCGAGUGAGUGUUGUCUCUCCUAAUUCUCACGAGCGAAUACUGACCGUUUACAUCCUUUUCGAUCAUUUUUUCUUAUCCGGAAUACAACACCACCAUCAGGCUGAAUGACUUCGCCCUCCUUAAGUUGACAACGGAAAUUCAGUUUGAUUCUCGUGAUGUCGACUACUCGACUUCAUUCCAUACGGCGAAGAACUAUAUAACCAACAAUAAGAUCAGGCUGUUCAUGGCGUGGGGCGCAACUUUUGUAUUACGGAUGCACCCAACAUUUCCCAAACACAUAACGUCCUAGUCUACCUGUAUCUGUCUAUACAUUAAUUACAUUAUAACGGCUCGAAACAGGAAGGAGGUUAUGAGUCCGUUAAUCUUCAAUAUGGAUACUCCUCUAUCUUCCCGCCGACUACUGACGCAACAUGCGGAGAUUACUCCGGCGCGUUAUUUGGUUUUAGAACCAUGUUUUGUUGUUUCAUCACAUUAGCUGCACGUGAGAUCAAUCUGUUGAGAUCGUAUAGUUUCCUCUAUACAAUACUAUAUCUAUACGUUAUCAGUUAUACUGUUUGUCUAUCUACUCUCUCCGUGGUUCCUGCUGGAUCGACUUGUCAGUAUGAUGAAGGGUCACCUUUCGUUCAAGACUACGUUGAACCUGCUGAUGAUCCAUCUGGGGUGAUCCCCACUGCUGUAGGCAUCUUUUCCAAAGACCCGAGAUGCGAUCCUAUUAGCAAAAGCGUCUAUAUAAUCGAAUGUCGAUCUACUAUUUUUGGUUUAUAAACACAGCCGGCCAACAGCCAGCCCGACAACUGUAAAGAGGCAAAUCGAUAUUACAACCAGUAUACUCAAGAUGGGCACCGAUGCCAACAUUGAAUGGGAACACCCGCGUGAAUUGUUGGCGGUUGAAAAUCGAAAUAGCUUUGAUAGCGUCAAAGAAAAUGAACGGUUUGAUGAUUCCUUAAGCUACUAGUGUGUUUAAAAUAUGGACAUAGAUGAGUUGUGGACAAUAUGUCUCCAGUGGCGCAGUUGGUUAGCGCAUGGUACUUAUAAGACAGUAACUAGUUGAGCUAAUUGAAAAGUCAUGUUUCAGAGUAAUGCCGAGGUCGCGAGUUCGAGCCUCGCCUGGAGAAUUUUUAAUUAAUUCAUGUUUUUUCUAUUGCAUUGCUUGACAUUUGUCUGGUAACAAAAUGAGUCAAUAGGAAAGAAAACGAGGCUGAUCAAGUUUUUGUCCAAUCCUUAAUGCACUCAACGAGCUGUAGUUUAACAGGAUUUCAAAAUUGGAAUGCUUCACCGUGAUUGGGGACGCUUAAGAAUAUGUGAAAAAGUAAUUCAAAGAGUUGGGUUCCUAUUUACAACAAACCAAGUUC
Molecule: transfer RNA, 1908 nt
Filed under: Daphnia magna
Lineage: Eukaryota; Metazoa; Arthropoda; Branchiopoda; Diplostraca; Daphniidae
Description: uncharacterized LOC116931425
Rfam family: tRNA (bases 1553-1671)
Source: RNAcentral